RNA transcript from Clarias gariepinus (North African catfish), 1077 nucleotides. RefSeq lists it as uncharacterized. Lineage: Eukaryota; Metazoa; Chordata; Actinopteri; Siluriformes; Clariidae. The record is from RefSeq and is a predicted model, not a curated record. The transcript is spliced from 7 exons.
AAGUGAACAUUGUCCAUCUCUGUCACUACUGUUCAACCAAUUUGACACGGUGGAGGAGCAGGACAGUUCAUUAAUUUCAUUUUAUAAAAUGAACAGUGCUAACUGGUCAGCUCCAUUUAAAUGUAGAUUGGCAGGAGAUGCAGCUGUUGGCAAAGGAGUCAAUCGUCAUAUUUUGUCAAUGAUGCUGCAAAAAUUGAAGACUGGCUUCGCUUUAAAUUUGGGGUCUUCUACCACAGCCCUUUUUAAGGGGGAAAAAAAACACCGUGUCCCCUCAGCAUGUGCUGUACUACGGGACAGCAACCUGUUUCAGAUGGCUGGCCGAAUGAUUGGUCAUUCCUUUUUACAUGGAGGUCCUUGUCUUUCUGGACUGAGUUUACCUGUUAUCAUCCUUCUGACUGGAGGAGAUACUGACAGUGCGGCUUCAGCUCUGACACUGCAGGACUGCCCAGACAUAGACCACAGGGAAACUAUUAGUUUGCUCAAGAAAACAGAACUCACUAAAAAAGAAAUGACUCGAUUGACCGAUCUUUGCCUUUUCUGGGAUCUUCCUGUUCCAUCGUCGAGUAAUCAGGACUGGCUGUUUCAACAGCUAUUGUCUCAUGCUGUACUUGGACGUGUCAAGUGCCAGAUUAAAGAUUUGAGAAAAGGCAUCAAAGAUGCCGGCAUCUGGCCCCUUCUCUCCCAGAGACUCGACAGUCACCACAUUGUUUUCCCAAGGGAGUCAGUUAGGGACAUUACAUCACAAGAAAUUCUUCAGAAAAUCGUGUGGAUGAUGAAGACAAUGAUGAUGACAUGACUGUUGAGAGAAUGAGUGUCAUCACAGGAUAUAUGCGAAGCUUUAUUGAGGAAGCAUCACCAACCAUGCUGAAUCACUUAAUGAAGUUCUGGGUGGAAUGGGAGUUGGCAGAAGAAAACCUGGUGUUAGAGUUGGUGACUGCCAAGUUCCCUAUUGCACAAACAUGUUUCAACACAUUGCGCCUUCCCUGUCACUACCAUAGCUACCCUGCAUUCAGAGCAGAUAUGCUAAUGUGUCUGAAGUCUAUAAACAGUGGAUUUGACCUGGUUUAAAUAAAUUGC